AACAAAUCAAAGAAAGAAAAACAGACAGGAACAAAAGUAUUUCCCGACGGUAAAACAAGGAGGUACUGUAAUAGGAGAGACAUACUGUAGUUUUUCAGGUGCCUGCUUUAUUUGAAGAGCCUAUACACAGCUUAGAGAUACCCUUGUGAUAGGAGAUGUACAUUCUGCAUGCAAGAGCUCCACAUGUCCUGUUACCCCAUGUACUGUAUUUACCCAGAGGGAGUUGUGCUGAGGGAAAGGGUCGUGCAAGACUGAGCAAAGGCCUUGAAAGAUACAGUAACUAUCAUCUUUGGAACACCCGGGGGCAGGGGUGCCUUUACAGGAUCUUUGAAUGGGAAAGUCUCAGGAAAAACAGACGAGAAGCCAUAAAGUAAGACUCUGACAUGAAAAAUGUCCCUGUCGUCGCUGGGAACCACUGGAUAGUCACUAAGGGCUGUUGGAA
This is a non-coding RNA of Lepisosteus oculatus (spotted gar), 442 nucleotides long. The record is from RefSeq and is a predicted model, not a curated record. Lineage: Eukaryota; Metazoa; Chordata; Actinopteri; Semionotiformes; Lepisosteidae.